CUCUCUGGUUCUUUGGCCUGCUCACUCUGCUGAAGCAGUUCCACUCCAGAUACACAGAGCAGUUCCUGGCUCUCAUUGGGCAAUUCAUACGCUCCAUCAUGGAACAGUGCACCAGUCAGAAGAUCCCGGACAUGCCGUCCGAUGUGGUGGGAGCUCUGAUGUUUCUGGAGGAUUACGUACGCUACACCAAACUGCCUCGCAAGGUGGCCGAGGCCCACGUGCCAAGUUUCAUCUUUGAUGAGUUCAGGACAGU
Molecule: long non-coding RNA, 253 nt
Organism: Oncorhynchus tshawytscha (Chinook salmon)
Lineage: Eukaryota; Metazoa; Chordata; Actinopteri; Salmoniformes; Salmonidae
Exons: 3
Source: RefSeq, a predicted model, not a curated record